Cygnus olor (mute swan) is the source of this 554-nucleotide long non-coding RNA. RefSeq lists it as uncharacterized. NCBI's taxonomy places the organism in Eukaryota, Metazoa, Chordata, Aves, Anseriformes, Anatidae. The transcript is spliced from 3 exons. The record is from RefSeq and is a predicted model, not a curated record.
ACUUGUGCUCUUCUGAUCUUCCCUGUUGAGUGAGAUAUGAAUUGCUACCUCAGCUCAACUACUAAGUGUGCCACACCUUUUGAGAAAGGAGAGUUUUCCUUCAGGGGCCAUUGCUGGACCUGCUGAUUCAAGUUCUCAUGCUGGUUUAGAAGUCAUUAGCGGUAGUGGAUAGUGGGUCUUUGCGUUUCCUUUUUUUUUUUUCUUCCGUUUGUUUUGUGGUUGUGUGUUGUUUGUUUUUGUUUGGUUUUUUUUUUGGUUGUUUGUUUGUUGUUUUUUGAGGGAGUGGUGAUGUGUUUUGUUUUGUUUUUUAUUCUUUGUUCAGAAGCUCUGUAUCCCCUAAGAAAAACAUUGCAUACCUUUGUUUCUGUAUUGCUUAAGCUUUAUAGUAAGCACAAGCUCUGAAGACAUUAAAGUCUUACUCAGCUGUACUGUACUCGGCUCUGGUGAGGCCGCACUUCGAGUACUGUGUUCAGUUUUGGGCCCCUCGCUACAAGAAGGACAUGGAGGUGCUUGAGAGAGUCCAGAGAAGGGCGACGAAGCUGGUGAGGGGUCUG